AAGUCGUAACAAGGUUUCCGUAGGUGAACCUGCGGAAGGAUCAUUAAGAUAAUUUCGGUAAAACAAAAAGGCAAGGGCCAACCCCACAAAGAAGCGGCGUGAGGGGGGGAAUCGCGAGAUAGAUCCAAUUCUCUCGGCUUCAAAAGAUGUCCCCGGGAGGGGCAACUCUCUUACAAAUAUCUCUUGCAGCCGCCGGCGUGUGAUCAGGUUGGCCUCCUUAUACUUUUACAUUUCGAAUAUCUAAAAAAACCACCCCCACCGUGCACUUAUUGAAAAGACCUCCUUUAAAAGAAAAAAAAAAUUUUUAUCUUUUUUCUCUUUAACCUAUUUGCCUGAUAUUUUGACUGAUCUUAUUUAAAAAAAAUUUAAAUACAACUUUCAACAACGGAUCUCUUGGCUCUC
This 402-nucleotide unclassified non-coding RNA is filed under the name fungal sp. RNAcentral's name for it is "partial internal transcribed spacer region". The stretch from base 1 to 46 matches the Rfam family "Eukaryotic small subunit ribosomal RNA", at positions 1786 to 1831 of the family's 1831-position model. Lineage: Eukaryota; Fungi. The record is from RNAcentral.